Molecule: small nucleolar RNA, 126 nt
Organism: Mus pahari (shrew mouse)
Lineage: Eukaryota; Metazoa; Chordata; Mammalia; Rodentia; Muridae
Product: small nucleolar RNA SNORA40
Exons: 1
Source: RefSeq, a predicted model, not a curated record
AGCAUUGGUGAUAGUUUGGUUCAAUGAAAGCAAAGGCAAGGAAAACAGAUGGCAAACUAAUACUCUUUUGCAACCCAGAACUCAUUGUUCAAUAUGAGUUUUGAUACAAACAAGAAAAAGUGUGCU